CAUCCUGCAACCCGCGCCGCCCCCCUCUUCCGCGCUGCGCACGGAUGGCGGCUGGAGCCGCAGAGAAAUGGGAUCAUACUAUAAAUCCUGUACUGCUGUAUCACCCAUGCCAGACCAGCAGCCUGGGCAUCACCCCGAGUUUGUCAGAAAUGCAGACUCUCAGGCUUCACUCAUGACCUGCUGGAUCACAACCUGCAUUCAACAAGAACCAAGGGCCCCUGGAGAUUCCGGUGCACAUCAGAGUUGGAGCUCUAAUACAUAUUAUCAUAUGCAACUUGCUUUUUUAGCAACAGUAUGUCUUUGACGUCUUUCAGCGUAAGAACAGUUUGGUCACAUUCCUUGUUCACGGCUGCAUAGUUUCCCACUGUUUGGCAGUGCUCUGGUUCUGUUCCCUGGUCUGCUAAAAAUGACUGUGCUGGGCUUGAAGAACGGAUGGAUAAAAUGCCACUUGGAGGGGAGUGUGAAUAGAGAAGUGCUGAUGUUCUGGGCAGAGGAAUCAGCAUAAGCAAAGGAAUGGAAGCAGAAAGGAAACAAACCUGAAGUCUACCCUGUCCUUGUUCCCACAGGGCUUGGUGAGGACCGAAGGAGGGAUACUGUAGGUGGUUCUCCCGGGUGCUGAGAAGUUGGGGAUCCAGAAGGCCAAUGAGUUAAAUGAGAGUCUUAGAAAUGGCUUUGACCCUCUACUUGGAGCACUGACGAGGGAGAAUUCUCUCUGGAGCCCCUGAAGCUGUAACCACCACCUAUGCUUGCAGAUCAGUAGCAGGAACACUCACUGUGCAUUUCUUCCUGGGCCAGGUUACUGUGCUAAGAGAUUCAACCCUCAGGAGGGAGAAGUUCUUAUUAGUUCCCCUUGACAGAUGAGGCAACUGAGGCACAAAGAGGAAUGUGGCUAAGGUCACAAAGCCAGAAAGUGAUGGAGUGAAGAUGUGAAUUGGAGUCUGGCCGGGAGCUGUCGCUAAGCACGGACUAUUCCUGGGGUUUCUGAGCUGGGCGUCUGGUUGUGGGCAUACUCUGUGAGCCUGCGUUGGUGUGCUGUGCUGGGUGCCUUGAUGGGACUUGCCGCUGUGCGGUGAUGGACAUAGAUGUCAAGAAGGGAAGAGCUGCUGUGAUGAACACCAGCCCGAGGAUGGAAGGAGGAAACUGCAUCCUGGAGUCAUUCGUUCAUUCGUUUGCUCAUUAAUCAACCUUCCCCAAGCAACCAUGAUGUACAGGGCUCUGAGCUGGUGUCCCAAGGACAUGGGGACAACUCAGCAGCUGCUUUCUACUGUCAAAGGGCACAUGACAUUACUGAGGGCAGAAAUAAGAGGAGGAAGUAGCAGGUUACAGGAUAAGGACACCGUCAUCAAUAGCUGGUUAGAAAGCGUACUGGGAAAAUAGCGACAAUAGCCACUAUAGAAACUGCGCAGAUGGCAGAUCAAGAAGCCUGCAAAACCAUAACAUAACGCAGUGCUUGAAUAGAUGGAGAUGUUUACCUCAUUCUUAAACUGAAAAACUUGGGAUAAAUUUGGCUGUGUUUCUCCAACUUAAACACAUUUCAUGCAACACCAGUCGAAAUUCUGAUGGGAUUUUGGCAUGGGUGGGGAAGGGAGAAGGUUUGACAAAAAUCAUUCUGUAACUUACCCCCCAAAACUUACAUGAUUGGGAAUUGGCAAAUUUUAAAAAAACAUAACAGUAUCAGGGGCUUGUGUGGUUAGGCAUUAAAAUAUAUUCCAAAACUAUAACAAUCACACUAUGUGAUAUCAUCGCGGGAAGAGACAAGUAGAUUCCUGGAGCAAAUGGGUCUGGACGUAGAGCCACAUGAGUAUGAGUCUACUUCGUGAUAAAGGUGCAUCUCAAAGUGGAGGCAGGAGUGAGGCCUCCAGGUGAUGCUGCGUCGUCAGACUUCAUUUGGGAUGCAGAGAGAUGGGGCCUUUCUUCUCCCUCUGAACAUACUUCAUUGGGGGGCUUUGCCUGUAAGGGACUGAUUAAAAGCAAUCAACGUGAGUCUAGCUCCAAACAGUGUCCCCAGAGUGUUUCCAUCCACAAUCUAGUCUGGUCUUCAAGGAGGCAGCACAAGGUCAUAUACAUUAAAAAAAAAAAAUGUUCACUCCCUCCCCAUGAUAAAGUCAUCCAACUGGUCACAGCAAAUUAGUAAAAAAGGAGAGAAAGUGAAUCUCCCCCAGCCCCCCACCCAUGAGCCCACUACAUACAUUUAUUCUUUCCAAAACUGGGGUCAUAAUGUGUAUGCACUUUUGUAACCUACUGAGUUCAGUUCAUAUCAUAUCAUGAGUGUUUAAAUAUCCUUUGAAGACAUAGUUUCUGAAGGCUGUGUGCUAUUCCUUAAGAGGCAGACACAAUGAUUUAUUUAGCUGUUCUCCAAGUUGAUUAUUUUCCAGACAGCUAUUAUAAAUAAUGUUUCUGUGAG
This is a non-coding RNA of Delphinapterus leucas (beluga whale), 2404 nucleotides long. The record is from RefSeq and is a predicted model, not a curated record. Lineage: Eukaryota; Metazoa; Chordata; Mammalia; Artiodactyla; Monodontidae.